AACGAACGCUGGCGGCAUGCCUAACACAUGCAAGUCGAACGAACCCUUCGGGGUUAGUGGCGCACGGGUGCGUAACGCGUGGGAAUCUGCCCUGGGGUGCGGAAUAACUCGGAGAAAUCCGUGCUAAUACCGCAUAAUGUCUUCGGACCAAAGAUUUAUCGCCCUGGGAUGAGCCCGCGUUGGAUUAGCUAGUUGGUAGGGUAAAAGCCUACCAAGGCGACGAUCUAUAGCUGGUCUGAGAGGAUGAUCUGCCACACUGGGACUGAGACACGGCCCAGACUCCUACGGGAGGCAGCAGUUAGGAAUAUUGGACAAUGGGCGAAAGCCUGAUCCAGCCAUGCCGCGUGUGUGAUGAAGGCCCUAGGGUUGUAAAAGCACUUUCGUUGGGGAGUGAUAAUGACCGUACCCAAAGAAGAAGCACCGGCUAACUUCGUUGCCAGCAGCCGUCGGUAAAGU
RNAcentral lists this ribosomal RNA (456 nucleotides) under uncultured bacterium. RNAcentral describes it as "bacterial SSU rRNA". It matches the Rfam family "Bacterial small subunit ribosomal RNA", at positions 29 to 526 of the family's 1533-position model. The record is from RNAcentral.